This 464-nucleotide ribosomal RNA is filed under the name uncultured bacterium. Its description in RNAcentral is "partial 16S ribosomal RNA". It matches the Rfam family "Bacterial small subunit ribosomal RNA", at positions 28 to 506 of the family's 1533-position model. The record is from RNAcentral.
GACGAACGCUGGCGGCGUGCUUAACACAUGCAAGUCGAACGGAAAGGCCCUGCUUGCAGGGUACUCGAGUGGCGAACGGGUGAGUAACACGUGGGUGAUCUGCCCUGCACUUCGGGAUAAGCCUGGGAUACUGGGUCUAAUACCGGAUAGGAGCCAUUUUUAGUGUGAUGGUUGGAAAGUUUUUUCGGUGUAGGAUGAGCUCGCGGCCUAUCAGCUUGUUGGUGGGGUAAUGGCCUACCAAGGCGGCGACGGGUAGCCGGCCUGAGAGGGUGGACGGCCACAUUGGGACUGAGAUACGGCCCAGACUCCUACGGGAGGCAGCAGUGGGGAAUAUUGCACAAUGGGCGCAAGCCUGAUGCAGCGACGCCGCGUGGGGGAUGACGGCCUUCGGGUUGUAAACUCCUUUCGCUAGGGACGAAGCUUUUUGUGACGGUACCUAGAUAAGAAGCACCGGCUAACUACGU